Molecule: transfer RNA, 56 nt
Filed under: Porcellio dilatatus dilatatus
Lineage: Eukaryota; Metazoa; Arthropoda; Malacostraca; Isopoda; Porcellionidae
Description: tRNA-Thr
Source: RNAcentral
ACUACUUUAGUUUAUUAAAACACUAUUUUUGUAAUAUAGAAAUCCUUAAACUAUCU